CAUCCGGGGAAGAGUAUUAUUCUCAUAGCAAAUGUUCUUGACCCCUGAUAAAAAAAAAUUCUAAGAUUGAAGAAUACAUUUGUAUGUAAGAUAUACCGUUUGGAGAAAUUGAUGUGUCUUGUUUUGGUUCCGGUCUAACAAAUGAUGAUCGGAUCAUGAACUCAUAGUUAAGCUAGACCCAAAAUCAAGUUUAAUUUUAAUAGCUUUGUAUUAGUUUUGAAAUUCUACCUUUUGGCUCCUUUUCAUUGA
This is a long non-coding RNA of Arabidopsis thaliana (thale cress), 249 nucleotides long. RefSeq annotates it as other RNA. The transcript has a single exon. NCBI's taxonomy places the organism in Eukaryota, Viridiplantae, Streptophyta, Magnoliopsida, Brassicales, Brassicaceae. The record is from RefSeq.